Molecule: ribosomal RNA, 468 nt
Filed under: uncultured bacterium
Lineage: Bacteria
Description: partial 16S ribosomal RNA
Rfam family: Bacterial small subunit ribosomal RNA
Source: RNAcentral
GACGAACGCUGGCGGCGUGCUUAACACAUGCAAGUCGAACGGACAGGCCCUGCUUUUGUGGGGUGCUCGAGUGGCGAACGGGUGAGUAACACGUGAGUAACCUGCCCUUGACUUUGGGAUAACUUCAGGAAACUGGGGCUCAUACCGCAUAGGAGCUCCUGCUGCAUGGUGUGGGUUGGAAAGUUUCGGCGGUUGGGGAUGGACUCGCGGCUUAUCAGCUUGUUGGUGUGGUAGUGGCAUACGAAGUCUUUGACGGGUAGCCGGCCUGAGAGGGUGGACGGCGACAUGGGGACUGAGAUACGGCCCAGAAGGGUACGGGAGGCAGCAGUGGGGAGUAUUGCACAAUGGGGGGAAGCCUGAUGCAGCGACGCCGCGUGCGGGAUGACGGCCUACGGGGGGUAAACCGCUGUCGCCGGAGACGAAGCGGGAGUGACGGUAAUGGGUAAAGAAGCACCGGCUAACUACGUG